GACAGUCCUUUGGUGAAAUGAGACUCACCUGAUGGUCUCUGGGAGCAUCUUGAUGAGAGGAGGGACCUCUCCAGAGUCUGAGACGUUGGUAGGGGCCAUUUUUCUGACCUGGUCCAGGCCUGCUGACACCGACCCUAGUAGGUGCCAUUGAGAUUCAUCCCUUGGCCUGUUAGCCCAGGGGUCUGCCACACCCACUAGACCACAGAUUUAAUCCAGUUCAGUCAAGGCAAGCAGCCCACCCAUGGACUGGCCCCACCCAACAGCAAGCCCUCUGGCUACUUUUCAGCCUGCAUUGACUGGAUGCCUUGAUCCUCUACAGGCAGAUAAAAGAAGCUCAGAGGGGCCAGCCCGGUGGUGCAGUGGUUAAGUGUCCAUGUUCUGCUUCGGAGGCCCGGGGUUCACCAAUUCAGAUCCCAGGUGCGGACAUGGCACCAUUUGGCAUGCCAUGCUGUGGAAGAAGAAAUGAGAUUUGAUUGUUUCAGCUGAGGUUAAAGGAGAUAAGACAUUUAAGAAAUUGAAAUUUGGUACAAAAUUCUGCACCUAUGGCCUCAGGAGGAGCUCCUUAUGCUCAAUUGACGGAAGAAGAAAAGACUCAAGCCUGGUUUACAGAAACUACUGCAGGAUGAGUUCUGCAGGAUGUGCAGGCCCCGCUGGAAAGUAGACGGCUGCCUCACUACAGGACUCAGACUAGGACUAGAACGCACACCAUCAGCUGUUCUGAUUCUUAGGCCUUUGAACUCAGACUGCAGCCACCCCAUCGACUCUCCUGUGUCUCCAGAUUGCCGACUGCAGAUCUUGUGACUUCCCAGCCUCUAUAAUUAAGCAAGGCAAUAUCCUGUAUUAUAUAUAGGAUAUAUGCAUAUAAUAUAUCCUAUUGGUUCUGUUUCUCUGGUGAACCUUGACUGAUAUACUCAUCAUACCAAGAAUACACUAACUAUUCCAGAACCAACUCCAUCACUCACUCAAAACCAACUUCUUCACAUGGCAUUUAAUUCUAUAUAUAUAUCUCAGAAAUUUCUAUGAAUAUGUUUUUUCACACAUGUGUAUACUAUAUGUGUGUAUGUAGAUUAUGUAUAUACAAUAUGUAACUAUAUAUCUAUAUAUGUAUAUAUGUACAUGUAAAUAUAUAUGAACACUUAUAUGAGAAUUUUUGUGCAAUAGCUCAUAAAAACAUGGGGGACAGAGAAACAGAGAGACAGAAACAGAAGAAAGAGACAGAGACAGAGAGCUGGAGACAGAGUAAAAGACAUAGCAACAGAUCGAUAAUUCAUUUUCUUGGGGUUUUAUAUAAAAAUGUAGUAUUUUUGUUCAGCACAUUUUUAUUGUUUGAAUAACUGUUUAACCUAAUACUAUUUUGGUUUCAUAUUUGUUUUUACGUUUUUACUUGUGUCUUUUGUUACUGGAACAAAUAAAAUGUAUUUAGUAAGAGAAA
Molecule: long non-coding RNA, 1432 nt
Filed under: Equus caballus (horse)
Lineage: Eukaryota; Metazoa; Chordata; Mammalia; Perissodactyla; Equidae
Description: lncRNA (ENSECAG00000046118.1)
Source: RNAcentral